UUCUAGUUCUCGUCGUGAUCUGUUACUGCAUCUCCCGAAGGAAAAGGUCAAGUGGUCAGUCGAGCGGUUAUGGUGAUCAAACUGGAAGAGAGAUGAGAGCCGAGCCUUGUCCUUCACACAAAGGUCAGAUGAGCAGUUAUGAUGAUGAAAAUGGAGGGAAGCUGAGACUUCACUCUGAUAGAGGAGAGAUGUCCAGUCCUGAAAGUAAAAGAGGAGCACGCUAUAAUAAGAACGGAUCAUCUCCACGCGCAGAUAUCUCCGUAUCUCCGAGAUGCGAACAGCUUGUGUUUUGUAGGUCCUGAUUAGAAAUUA
Long non-coding RNA from Sinocyclocheilus grahami, 312 nucleotides. RefSeq lists it as uncharacterized. The transcript has 3 exons. The record is from RefSeq and is a predicted model, not a curated record. Lineage: Eukaryota; Metazoa; Chordata; Actinopteri; Cypriniformes; Cyprinidae.